CGCUUGCUGGUGUAUCUUGCAGCCACAUCCUGAUGUGAAGCCGUCUGCUUCACUUUGAAUAUGUGGGCACUGAAGCUAUGUGACGAUGAAAAAAUGCCAGUGAAAAGAACCGAGAACAUGUUUGUUUGUGUUCAUCUUCACUACAUUUUGCUUCCCAGACAUUUUUUAUUUCCUUUUCAAAAGAAUGAUUCCGAUGUCGAACAUGGUUGUUUCAGGUCAGAGGAUCUUGGUGAUCACUGCUGCCACAUGGUCAGAUAGGCCAUGGUAUUAACGAAGAUAGGGCUUUGGUAUAAACACAUGAUUGGAAUGAGGCGUUCUGAGCUCCAAAAGGCUGAAGCCAAGGUUAUGAUAUUGAGCGACAAGAUCACCGCACAGUUAAUCCUUCUCCGAAAGAUAUAUUUAGCUCUUGAUCAUUACUCUCCUACCUUGCUGCAUCCCGGUGUGUCUGUCUCGGUUGGAGAUGUCGUGCAUGCUUCUGCGUCCAUGUAUUUUGCAAUGACCCAGUAUAAUAUUCGGAACAUCACAAACGUUAGCAUGGUUGCCUUUGUAUGUAGCUGCUGGACGCUUUCUUGAAGACAUGCAAACUUGUUGCAGAUUUGAGAAGUAAACAAAAUGGAGGCGAUGCAACGUGAAUGAUGAUUGAGGAGGCGGUAUGGUAAGAUCUCCAUUGGUAUAGCUAAUGUUCAUCAUGUGCUUAUCCAUGUUCUAUGCCUGCAGCUACAGACCAAGGUUUUUAUGUGGGAAGUCUCGAUUGAAGCUCAAGGUUUAAAGAUAUACUAACAGAGGCAAAAACUGGGCACUGCCUAUUUUUAAGAAUUUAUCCAGUUCGUGUUUACGUGACCUUGAACUUUUAGUGGAACAUUUGUAUACACAUUUCGUUAGAAAUUAGGAUCAGAUUUCUAAACUAACAAAGAUGCAAUGAAAAAACUUAAAUUGUUAGGUUCCCACUUUCGAAACACCUUCACAUUUUACUUCUCAUCGAAUGCAUUUCCUUAUGGUUGGCUCUUUGAAUAUCCUUUUAUCAUGUUCCUGUUAAACUUCUUUGCACCGAUUUGAUUAGCAACUGGAUAUCUGAUUGGGGGGGUUUACGCUUGCUGGUGUAUCUUGCAGCCACAUCCUGAUGUGAAGCCGUCUGCUUCACUUUGAAUAUGUGGGCACUGAAGCUAUGUGACGAUGAAAAAAUGCCAGUGAAAAGAACCGAGAACAUGUUUGUUUGUGUUCAUCUUCACUACAUUUUGCUUCCCAGACAUUUUUUAUUUCCUUUUCAAAAGAAUGAUUCCGAUGUCGAACAUGGUUGUUUCAGGUCAGAGGAUCUUGGUGAUCACUGCUGCCACAUGGUCAGAUAGGCCAUGGUAUUAACGAAGAUAGGGCUUUGGUAUAAACACAUGAUUGGAAUGAGGCGUUCUGAGCUCCAAAAGGCUGAAGCCAAGGUUAUGAUAUUGAGCGACAAGAUCACCGCACAGUUAAUCCUUCUCCGAAAGAUAUAUUUAGCUCUUGAUCAUUACUCUCCUACCUUGCUGCAUCCCGGUGUGUCUGUCUCGGUUGGAGAUGUCGUGCAUGCUUCUGCGUCCAUGUAUUUUGCAAUGACCCAGUAUAAUAUUCGGAACAUCACAAACGUUAGCAUGGUUGCCUUUGUAUGUAGCUGCUGGACGCUUUCUUGAAGACAUGCAAACUUGUUGCAGAUUUGAGAAGUAAACAAAAUGGAGGCGAUGCAACGUGAAUGAUGAUUGAGGAGGCGGUAUGGUAAGAUCUCCAUUGGUAUAGCUAAUGUUCAUCAUGUGCUUAUCCAUGUUCUAUGCCUGCAGCUACAGACCAAGGUUUUUAUGUGGGAAGUCUCGAUUGAAGCUCAAGGUUUAAAGAUAUACUAACAGAGGCAAAAACUGGACACUGCCUAUUUUUAAGAAUUUAUCCAGUUCGUGUUUACGUGACCUUGAACUUUUAGUGGAACAUUUGUAUACACAUUUCGUUAGAAAUUAGGAUCAGAUUUCUAAACUAACAAAGAUGCAAUGAAAAAACUUAAAUUGUUAGGUUCCCACUUUCGAAACACCUUCACAUUUUACUUCUCAUCGAAUGCAUUUCCUUAUGGUUGGCUCUUUGAAUAUCCUUUUAUCAUGUUCCUGUUAAACUUCUUUGCACCGAUUUGAUUAGCAACUGGAUAUCUGAUUGGGGGGGUUUACGCUUGCUGGUGUAUCUUGCAGCCACAUCCUGAUGUGAAGCCGUCUGCUUCACUUUGAAUAUGUGGGCACUGAAGCUAUGUGACGAUGAAAAAAUGCCAGUGAAAAGAACCGGGAACAUGUUUGUUUGUGUUCAUCUUCACUACAUUUUGCUUCCCAGACAUUUUUUAUUUCCUUUUCAAAAGAAUGAUUCCGAUGUCGAACAUGGUUGUUUCAGGUCAGAGGAUCUUGGUGAUCACUGCUGCCACAUGGUCAGAUAGGCCAUGGUAUUAACGAAGAUAGGGCUUUGGUAUAAACACAUGAUUGGAAUGAGGCGUUCUGAGCUCCAAAAGGCUGAA
Zea mays is the source of this 2512-nucleotide long non-coding RNA. RefSeq lists it as uncharacterized. The transcript has 3 exons. Lineage: Eukaryota; Viridiplantae; Streptophyta; Magnoliopsida; Poales; Poaceae. The record is from RefSeq and is a predicted model, not a curated record.